CAAUGCUGAGGAGUCCCACAACAGGACGAAACGUUCGUCUAGUGC
RNAcentral lists this non-coding RNA (45 nucleotides) under Schistosoma mattheei. Lineage: Eukaryota; Metazoa; Platyhelminthes; Trematoda; Strigeidida; Schistosomatidae. The record is from RNAcentral.